CCCGGCAAACAAGCUGUUAGUUUUAAUCUUGCGCCGACGAUCAACAAACUGAUGGCGCAUAACACCAUGACAUCGACACUUAAACAUUACACCAGUCUUUUUAAGAAAACAUUAACCAAACAAGAGACAAUGCAAAUAAGCCAUUAGUUUUGAUCUUGACGAUGAUAAGUUGGAACUUCAAUAGAAAGGAGCGACGAAUCCAUCUGCAUCAACAAUCUCCAGUCACUGUAUGAAAAAAUGGAAACAAAGCAGAUGGUAAAUAUUUCCGCAUGAAUGCAAAUGGUGAUGAGAUGAAGAUGGCAUGCUCAUGACAGUAAGAGUUGCAUUAUGAUCUACUAUUGGGUCAGCCAUAGCUAUCCAUGCUCAACUUUAAUUCUUAUCUACUUCACAAAUCUCACUUCAUGUCAUACACAGAUGGUACCUCAUAUGGUUCACUAGAAAUGGUAGCUGGAAGUAAGUUUCAGGUAUUACUUUCUUUUACUUUGAAGCCUAUUAUAGGAGCAAUUUUAAAGCAAACAACACACUCAGAUCCAACGACUACAAGGCUACAACUUCUGUAAUCCAACAACUAUACAUGUUCAGUAAAGUCAAUUACAUUGCCAAUAGGAACAGGAACAAGCUAUAAAAGACUAAACUGUAAGUAGAGAAUGCAUACCAGUAGGUUGCACAUGCAGCAGUCACCACGACACGGCAUAGUCCUGGAAUAAAAUGUAUGUAAGAUAUAAUGUUGAUCCUCCAUAAAAUGUAUGUAAGGCAUAGUCC
Molecule: long non-coding RNA, 762 nt
Filed under: Triticum aestivum (bread wheat)
Lineage: Eukaryota; Viridiplantae; Streptophyta; Magnoliopsida; Poales; Poaceae
Description: long non-coding RNA (TAES_LNC006830)
Source: RNAcentral